RNAcentral lists this ribosomal RNA (316 nucleotides) under Lentzea tibetensis. RNAcentral's name for it is "bacterial SSU rRNA". It matches the Rfam family "Bacterial small subunit ribosomal RNA", at positions 1 to 320 of the family's 1533-position model. The record is from RNAcentral. Lineage: Bacteria; Bacillati; Actinomycetota; Actinomycetes; Pseudonocardiales; Pseudonocardiaceae.
CUUAUUGGAGAGUUUGAUCCUGGCUCAGGACGAACGCUGGCGGCGUGCUUAACACAUGCAAGUCGAGCGGUAAGGCCCUUCGGGGUACACGAGCGGCGAACGGGUGAGUAACACGUGGGUAACCUGCCCUGUACUCUGGGAUAAGCCUUGGAAACGAGGUCUAAUACCGGAUACGACCACUGGAUGCAUGUCUGGUGGUGGAAAGUUCCGGCGGUAUGGGAUGGACCCGCGGCCUAUCAGCUUGUUGGUGGGGUAAUGGCCUACCAAGGCGACGACGGGUAGCCGGCCUGAGAGGGUGACCGGCCACACUGGGACU